Molecule: ribosomal RNA, 1218 nt
Filed under: Triticum aestivum (bread wheat)
Lineage: Eukaryota; Viridiplantae; Streptophyta; Magnoliopsida; Poales; Poaceae
Description: partial small subunit ribosomal RNA
Source: RNAcentral
AUGCUCUUAUAUUUCUUUACAGAGGGAGUACAAGUUAAGUGCAGGAAUUCAGUAAAUAAUUCUGAGGUGUGGAACCUGAAGAAGUGUUUUCAGCUGCAGAGAAACAGAGGAGCUCACCGGCAGCUAGUUGGCUGCGAUCUUCACGUCCGGGUUGCGCAUCGGCUUGAGCCACAUGUCGGCGACCACCCUCGACGACAUGCUCCAGAGCACGUCGGUCCCGACCUUCCCCGCUGCGGCCCCCGACGGCCGUCCCUUCUUGCCGGCCUUGCCGAGCCCGUAGGCGACGAGCCAGUGCGUCGCCGUCAGCCUCUGCCUCUCGCCGUCCCACACGCUACGCCGGUCGGCCGUCUUCAGCCGCAUGCCCCCGACGUGCAUGUUGGCCACCUUGAACCUGGUCUCGCCAUCGGCGCCGGUGGCGGCCCGUCCCGCCUGGAUUACCACGAUGGACGGCGCGCCGACCGCCUCGUACCGGCGCAUGGGGUCCCUCAGCUGCGCCACCACCAGCAUGGUCGCCGCGUCCGCGCCGGCGCACGCGCUCGCCCACUCCUCCGGCGGCACGGCGGCGUCCAGGGGGUGCCCGCCGUCCGCCGCGUCGGUGACCGGGGACACGUCGAAGGGAGCCUGCUCUUCGGCGGUGCCGGCCUGCACCUUGAGCGCUUCGAUGGCCAUCGUCUCUAUCUUUUGCAGCGAGAACGGCAGGAUCUCGUCCACGGUCACCGGCGCCUCAUGGGCGUUCCAGAUGCCGGUGGCGAUCCUCUCCUUGCGCCCGUCGCUCAUCGCCGCCGACAUUGUCCGGAGCAGAGAGACGGACUCGGCCGCGCUGGAGCUCGCGCCGAGCUCCUUGCUCCGCGCGCUGAUGAUCGCCGACGCCAUGCCCUCGAAGGCGAUCUGCUCUGCCGUCUUGCCGACUACCUCGUCGGUCGCGGUGAGUGCACCCAGCUUCGCGCACAGGGCCUCGCAUCCGCCGGCGCACAGCCGCUGGAACACCUCCGCGCCGCCGCCGGGGAGCUUCUGGCCGCGGAGGAUGAACGGCUUGGACAGUUGCAUGGCGAGCUUGGGAAGCUCCUUUCUAACAACCGGGAUGUCAAACGGGUUCGUUGCGGCCAGGUAGCCGCCGUCCCGGGUCUGCACGAUGGGGCCAAGCCCCUUGCCGAGGUCGGAGAUGUAGCAAGCCUCGUCGGCGCCGGUGCCCGGCUUCGCGCUGGACUUGAGCGAUGA